Molecule: ribosomal RNA, 253 nt
Filed under: uncultured bacterium
Lineage: Bacteria
Description: partial 16S ribosomal RNA
Rfam family: Bacterial small subunit ribosomal RNA
Source: RNAcentral
UACGUAGGGUGCGAGCGUUAAUCGGAAUUACUGGGCGUAAAGCGUGCGCAGGCGGUUCGUUGUGUCGGCGGUGAAAGCCCCGGGCUCAACCUGGGAAUGGCCGUUGAAACUGGCGAACUGGAGUGUGGCAGAGGGGGGUGGAAUUCCGCGUGUAGCAGUGAAAUGCGUAGAGAUGCGGAGGAACACCGAUGGCGAAGGCAGCCCCCUGGGCUGACACUGACACUGAGAGACGAAAGCUAGGGGAGCGAAUGGG